UACGUAGGGGGCAAGCGUUGUCCGGAAUCAUUGGGCGUAAAGAGCGUGUAGGCGGCUCGAUAAGUCUGCUGUGAAAGUCCAGGGCUCAACCCUGGAAGGCCGGUGGAAACUGUCGGGCUAGAGUCCGGAAGAGGCGAGUGGAAUUCCCGGUGUAGCGGUGAAAUGCGCAGAUAUCGAGAGGAACACCUGCGGCGAAGGCGGGUUGCUGGGCUGACACUGACGCUGAUGCGCGAAAGCCAGGGGAGCGAACGGG
This 253-nucleotide ribosomal RNA is filed under the name uncultured bacterium. RNAcentral's name for it is "partial 16S ribosomal RNA". It matches the Rfam family "Bacterial small subunit ribosomal RNA", at positions 524 to 776 of the family's 1533-position model. The record is from RNAcentral.